RNAcentral lists this non-coding RNA (129 nucleotides) under Paracoccaceae bacterium. RNAcentral's name for it is "Rhodobacteraceae bacterium FMN sequence". It matches the Rfam family "FMN riboswitch aptamer (RFN element)". From Rfam's summary of the family: The RFN element is a highly conserved domain that is found frequently in the 5'-untranslated regions of prokaryotic mRNAs that encode for flavin mononucleotide (FMN) biosynthesis and transport proteins. This element is a metabolite-dependent riboswitch that directly binds FMN in the absence of proteins. Lineage: Bacteria; Pseudomonadati; Pseudomonadota; Alphaproteobacteria; Rhodobacterales; Paracoccaceae. The record is from RNAcentral.
GCCUGUUCUCGGGGCGGGGUGCAAUUCCCCACCGGCGGUGAUAGCCCGCGAGCGCCUGCCACUGGCAGGGUCAGCAGAUCCGGUGAAACUCCGGGGCCGACGGUAUAGUCCGGAUGGAAGAGAACGGAC